This 253-nucleotide ribosomal RNA is filed under the name uncultured bacterium. RNAcentral's name for it is "partial 16S ribosomal RNA". It matches the Rfam family "Bacterial small subunit ribosomal RNA", at positions 524 to 776 of the family's 1533-position model. The record is from RNAcentral.
UACGUAGGGUGCGAGCGUUGUCCGGAAUUAUUGGGCGUAAAGGGCUCGUAGGCGGUCUGUCGCGUCGGCUGUGAAAACCCGGGGCUCAACCCCGGGCCUGCAGUCGAUACGGGCAGACUAGAGUGUGGUAGGGGAGACUGGAAUUCCUGGUGUAGCGGUGAAAUGCGCAGAUAUCAGGAGGAACACCGGUGGCGAAGGCGGGUCUCUGGGCCAUAACUGACGCUGAGGAGCGAAAGCGUGGGGAGCAAACAGG